GUAUGUGAGGGUGAUUGGGCUGCGACAUCUGUCACCCCACUGAUCGCCAGGGUUGAUUCGGCUGAUCUGGCUGGCUAGGCAGGUGUCCCCCUCCUCCCUCACCGAUCCAUGUGCGUCCCUCUUGAAGCUGCGCCUUCCCCCCAGAGGAGAGGACCGGUCUUCGAUCAAGGGUAUACAAGUAGCUGCGCUCCCCUGCUAGAACCUCCAAACAAGCUCUUAAAAAUAUGUUAGUAUAUCUGGAAGCAAAUGGCUACGGACUAACCUUUCUAUGCACAGACUCACAUUAUUUCUGU
This 293-nucleotide small nuclear RNA is filed under the name Myotis davidii. Its description in RNAcentral is "7SK RNA". It matches the Rfam family "7SK RNA". From Rfam's summary of the family: 7SK was discovered as an abundant small nuclear RNA in the mid-70s but a possible function has only recently been suggested. The record is from Rfam by way of RNAcentral. Lineage: Eukaryota; Metazoa; Chordata; Mammalia; Chiroptera; Vespertilionidae.